RNAcentral lists this transfer RNA (63 nucleotides) under Pyrrhocoris tibialis. Its description in RNAcentral is "tRNA-Ala". Lineage: Eukaryota; Metazoa; Arthropoda; Insecta; Hemiptera; Pyrrhocoridae. The record is from RNAcentral.
GGGGAUGUAGUUAACAAUAACAUUUAAUUUGCAAUUAAAAAGAACUAUUAAUAGUCUUCCUCA